RNAcentral lists this ribosomal RNA (303 nucleotides) under uncultured bacterium. Its description in RNAcentral is "partial 16S ribosomal RNA". It matches the Rfam family "Bacterial small subunit ribosomal RNA", at positions 507 to 807 of the family's 1533-position model. The record is from RNAcentral.
AGCAGCAGCCGCGGGAAUACGGAGGGAGCUAGCGUUGUUCGGAAUUACUGGGCGUAAAGCGCACGUAGGCGGCUUUGUAAGUUAGAGGUGAAAGCCUGGAGCUCAACUCCAGAACUGCCUUUAAGACUGCAUCGCUUGAAUCCAGGAGAGGUGAGUGGAAUUCCGAGUGUAGAGGUGAAAUUCGUAGAUAUUCGGAAGAACACCAGUGGCGAAGGCGGCUCACUGGACUGGUAUUGACGCUGAGGUGCGAAAGCGUGGGGAGCAAACAGGAUUAGAUACCCCAGUAGUCCCUGUCUCUUAUAC